GCUGAUGUUGCAGAAGUCUGCAUUCAGGUACUAAUUUUAUAAAUUGUUCGCAAUUGGAAACAUGUAUUUUUUCUGGGAAUUUUUCUACUGCUUCUCAAGAUUGCAUUGGGUCCUUAGGCUGUUUGUUUUGAGUACUCAUUUGCUUUUAAAUUUUAACCCUUCCUCUCUCAUGAACAGGCAUUACAAUUCGAGGAAGCAAAAUUUAAGGCGUAUGAUUUAGCCUCAAAGCCAGAGGGAACUGGCACUCCA
Molecule: unclassified non-coding RNA, 249 nt
Filed under: Hevea brasiliensis (rubber tree)
Lineage: Eukaryota; Viridiplantae; Streptophyta; Magnoliopsida; Malpighiales; Euphorbiaceae
Source: RNAcentral